AGCAGCCGCGGUAAUUCCAGCUCCAAUAGCGUAUAUUAAAGUUGUUGCAGUUAAAAAGCUCGUAGUUGAAUUUCGAGACCGGUCUACUGGUCGUGCUUUUGUACGUACUGGUAUUAUUGGUUUCUCCUUUCUGACGAAUCUUAAUGCCAUUAAUUUGGUGUUUUGGGGAAUCAGGACUGUUACUUUGAAAAAAUUAGAGUGUUUAAAGCAGGCUCACGCUUGAAUACAUUAGCAUGGAAUAACGAAAUAGGACGUUUGAUUUUAUUUUGUUGGUUUCUAGGAUCGACGUAAUGAUUAAUAGGGAUAGUUGGGGGCAUUAGUAUUCAAUUGUCAGAGGUGAAAUUCUUGGAUUUAUUGAAGACUAACUACUGCGAAAGCAUUUGCCAAGGAUGUUUUCAUUAAUCAAGAACGAAAGUUAGGGGAUCGAAGACGAUCAGAUACCGUCGUAGUCUUAACCAUAAACCUAUGCCGACUAGGGAUCGGAUGAUGUUAAUUUUUAAUGACUCAUUCGGCGCCUUAC
Molecule: ribosomal RNA, 520 nt
Filed under: uncultured Glomeromycotina
Lineage: Eukaryota; Fungi; Glomeromycota
Description: SSU rRNA
Rfam family: Eukaryotic small subunit ribosomal RNA
Source: RNAcentral